ACACGGCGGACGGGUGAGUAAUGCCUAGAAAUUGCCCUGAUGUGGGGGAUAACCAUUGGAAACGAUGGCUAAUACCGCAUGAUGCCUACGGGCCAAAGAGGGGGACCUUCGGGCCUCUCGCGUCAGGAUAUGCCUAGGUGGGAUUAGCUAGUUGGUGAGGUAAUGGCUCACCAAGGGCGACGAUCCCUAGCUGGUCUGAGAGGAUGAUCAGCCACACUGGAACUGAGACACGGUCCAGACUCCUACGGGAGGCAGCAGUGGGGAAUAUUGCACAAUGGGCGCAAGCCUGAUGCAGCCAUGCCGCGUGUAUGAAGAAGGCCUUCGGGUUGUAAAGUACUUUCAGUCGUGAGGAAGGUGGUGUUGUUAAUAGCAGCAUCAUUUGACGUUCGCGACAGAAGAAGCACCGGCUAACUCCGUGCCAGCAGCCGCGGCUAAUCACGGAGGGUGCGAGGCUGUAUAAUCGGAAUUACUGGGCGUACAAAGCGCAUGCAGGUGGUGGAUC
Molecule: ribosomal RNA, 502 nt
Filed under: Vibrio ordalii
Lineage: Bacteria; Pseudomonadati; Pseudomonadota; Gammaproteobacteria; Vibrionales; Vibrionaceae
Description: bacterial SSU rRNA
Rfam family: Bacterial small subunit ribosomal RNA
Source: RNAcentral